CCAAUAGCGUAUAUUAAAGUUGUUGCAGUUAAAAAGCUCGUAGUUGAAUUUCGGGAUUGACGUGACGGUCAUGCCUUAAGGGGUAUGAACUGUUACUGUUGAUUUCUCACCUUCUGGAGAAACUUGAUGUCCUUUAUUGGGUGUCUUGCGGAUCCAGGACCUUUACCUUGAAAAAAUUAGAGUGUUUAAAGCAGGCAUUUUUGCUCGAAUACAUUAGCAUGGAAUAAUAGAAUAGGACGGCAUGGUUCUAUUUUGUUGGUUUCUAGGAUCACCGUAAUGAUUAAUAGGGAUAGUUGGGGGCAUUAGUAUUCAAUUGUCAGAGGUGAAAUUCUUGGAUUUAUUGAAGACUAACUACUGCGAAAGCAUUUGCCAAGGAUGUUUUCAUUAAUCAAGAACGAAAGUUAGGGGAUCGAAGACGAUCAGAUACCGUCGUAGUCUUAACCAUAAACUAUGCCGACUAGGAAUCAGACGAUGUUAAUUUUUUAAUGACUCGUUUGGCACCUUCG
This 506-nucleotide unclassified non-coding RNA is filed under the name uncultured Entrophospora. Its description in RNAcentral is "SSU rRNA". It matches the Rfam family "Eukaryotic small subunit ribosomal RNA", at positions 591 to 1091 of the family's 1831-position model. The record is from RNAcentral. Lineage: Eukaryota; Fungi; Glomeromycota; Glomeromycetes; Entrophosporales; Entrophosporaceae.